RNAcentral lists this ribosomal RNA (245 nucleotides) under uncultured bacterium. RNAcentral describes it as "partial 16S ribosomal RNA". It matches the Rfam family "Bacterial small subunit ribosomal RNA", at positions 96 to 355 of the family's 1533-position model. The record is from RNAcentral.
GGCGGGACGGGUGAGUAACACGUUGAGAAUUUGCCUUUAGGAGGGGGAUAACAAUUGGAAACGACUGCUAAUACCCCAUAUGCUUUCGAGUGAAAUGAAUUAUUUCGCCUAGAGAGAAGCUCGCGGCUGAUUAGCUUGUUGGUAGGGUAAGUGCCUACCAAGGCGACGAUCAGUAUCUGGUUUGAGAGGACGAUCAGACACACUGGAACUGAGACACGGUCCAGACUCCUACGGGAGGCAGCAGU